CCUACGGGAGGCAGCAGUGAGGAAUAUUGGUCAAUGGGCGCGAGCCUGAACCAGCCAAGUCGCGUGAGGGAUGACUGCCCUACGGGUUGUAAACUUCUUUUAUAGAGGAAUAAAGUGAGGCACGUGUGCCUUUUUGUAUGUACUUGAUGAAUAAGGAUCGGCUAACUCCGUGCCAGCAGCCGCGGUAAUACGGAGGAUCCGAGCGUUAUCCGGAUUUAUUGGGUUUAAAGGGUGCGUAGAUGGGUUGUUAAGUCAGGUGUGAAAAUUUGGGGCUCAACCGCAGAACUGCCAUUGAUACUGGAAGUCUUGAGUACAGUUGAGGUAGGCGGAAUGCGUGGUGUAGCGGUGAAAUGCUUAGAUAUCACGAAGAACUCCGAUUGCGAAGGCAGCUUACCA
RNAcentral lists this ribosomal RNA (396 nucleotides) under uncultured bacterium. RNAcentral describes it as "partial 16S ribosomal RNA". It matches the Rfam family "Bacterial small subunit ribosomal RNA", at positions 338 to 731 of the family's 1533-position model. The record is from RNAcentral.